GGAGGCCACAAGACCAGAUGAGCCAGUUUAUUGAUCUGGGUGGUGCUAGCCGAUCCAUGAAGUGUAGGGUCUACAAAAUACGUCAAGCACUGAUCUUAGGUUCUACAAUAGUUAUGUUAUUCCCAGGAACAAUUUGAGGAGGUUCAGAAUCUUGCCACUUCCAGCUGCAUGACUCCUAAACCAUAAUUUCUAAUCCUGUAGCUAAUUUGUUAGUCCUUUAAAAAAAAAGCAGUCUAGCCCCCCAGGCAGGAAGGGUGUUUAUUUUGGGAAAGAGCUGUUAUUGUCUUUGUUUCAAAGCUAAACUAUAAACUAAGUUCCUCCCAAAGUUCAUUGGGCCCACACCCAAGAAUGAACAAGCACAACUUGAAGGUUUGAAAGUAAGAUGGAGUCGAUUAGGUCAACCACAAUUUUCUCAGUUGUAAUUUUUGCAAAGGCGGUUUCACUCUGACUCUUAGGACAAGGGUCUGAGCCAACCAAGGAGGGUGGGAGGAACGAUAGUUUUUGCUUAUGGAGUCAAGUGAGCUUGACAUUGUGACUUUCUCCUGUUUCUGGAUCUUACUUUCUGGAGGCCGGUGAUAAGAGUUCUCACAGAUUAAAGAACAAGGAGAUGGCUGGCUAUUUAAGAAGGAAAGGCAGAGGCUGCAGAAAUUGAGCCUAACGGCUUAUCAGAUGGGAUGGAUAAUUCUUUAAGUUUAAAAGAACUACUCAUUUUCCCCAACAUCUGUCUUUGCCAUCUUCCUAUCUAAGGAACCUUUCACUUUUUAGCUGGGGACAUAGCUUUCUGGUAUGAGAACUACACUGCUCAAACUUCCAAUCAGCUUGUAUGCACUUGGUGAAUCUUACCUACCACAAACAGAAGUCUGGAAAGUGAAAAUUUAUUUCCUUUUCACCAUGACCAGCCUUGUUCAGAACAUCUGAGAGGCACAGACCUGAGAAAGAAUCCCCAGGCUGAAGAGGUAGAAGUUGGCAGAAGUUAAAAGCAAUGUCUCCACAAUGGAGAAGUGACAUGCUAAAGGAACCUGGCAUCUAGACAUUUCCUAACCCCCAAUCCCUCCUUACAUAUGACCUGCUCUUAGAGGAGUACAGCGUGGUGGUUAGGAGUGUGGACUCGGCAGCCAGAAAUCCUGGGAUCUGUUGCUUGUUAGCUGUGGGCCUUAAGCUAAGAACUUAACCUCUCUGUGCCUCAGUUGCUCCAUCUGUUCAAAUGAAGAUAAUGAUAAUGAAGAUGAUAUCACCUGCUGUGUAGGAUUGUUAUGAAAAAUCAAGAAUUAAUAUUUGUAAAUCACUUACAGGGUCUGGCACAUAAUAAGUGCUGUGUGGGUGUUUGUUAAAUAAAAUAAUAUACAAUGACA
Homo sapiens (human) is the source of this 1352-nucleotide long non-coding RNA. RefSeq lists it as uncharacterized. The record is from RefSeq and is marked validated. The transcript has 4 exons. NCBI's taxonomy places the organism in Eukaryota, Metazoa, Chordata, Mammalia, Primates, Hominidae.